Molecule: long non-coding RNA, 2242 nt
Organism: Manis javanica (Malayan pangolin)
Lineage: Eukaryota; Metazoa; Chordata; Mammalia; Pholidota; Manidae
Source: RefSeq, a predicted model, not a curated record
CUGAGUCAACAAGAGGCUGGCAGGGGCUCAAGCUGCCCACUGAGGUGGAGCCAGAGACCUAGAGGGGACAGUCCCCUCCCCACCCUUCACUCUCUGUGAGACCCUCCCUCCUACUCCAGCAGCAGCCAGCCCAGUUAACCCCUGCAAACCUGACAGGGAAUGGCCUGGUGAGAAUCCACUGGUCAACGCCCUGCAUCAAGGUGCUAUGGGACCUCAGGUGAGAACGGAGGCACAGGGACGCUGAGAAACUUAAUCAAGAUUGAUGGCUGGGACUAGCUGGACCCAGGUCCCCUGACUCCUGGGCAGACGUUUGGAAAGAGGGACCGUUUGUGGUGUCUGUGUACAGCCCCAGAAGGUCAGGCAGUGAACUUUAUGGCUCACCACAGACCAGGCAAGGAAACGACUUCUCCAAGGUGACUCUGCUAGUGAGAGGCAAAGCCGGGAUUUGAACUUAGUGCCCAGCUGUGCCUGAGUCUAGCCCAGGGAGAGUGUGCCUGGAGUGGUCCCAGGAUGAGGGCACCUGCCCGUAUGGUGGCUGCAGUCCAGCUGGGAUUACCAGACCCGCUUCCUAGGCUGUCCAUGACCAUCCAUUCCCCAAGUGUGCCUUGAGCACAGACAUCACCAUCUCAUGGGAGACCUCACAGGGCAGCAGACAGUAAUACAGAUGAUGGACCAGGUGCAGGGGAGAGGCUCACGCUGAAGGAAGACCUCCACGAGGAGGUGACAUUUUAAAGCAGGCUUCAAGGAUCUUUUGUCCUGGAGUGACCCGCUAAUAAAGGUGAAUGAGAGGAAAAAACUGAGUUGGAUCCCUAAAUCAGUAGUGGAGCCAGGAACAGGAAUGCAGCCUACAUGGAGGGAUACUUCUAUUCAGAGAGAGGCUUCAAAUGAAAGGAGAGAGCUUCUCUCAGCCUCAGUUUACCCAUCAGUAAAGUGGGGCAAAGAAUUCCUGAUUCAGAGGUUGUCUCACCAUAAGCUAGCAGAGACAAGUGCCUGGGACUUGUUGGGGAGGUUUCCAGCCACUGACUGUUCCCUUCUCCCCAGCUCAGAGCUAAAGAGGAUGGAGCAAGUAUUAGCAGACCAUAGCCGUUGCCAUUAAGACUGACUUCUCAGCUGUCUCUCUGGGACUUGAAACAAGUAGUAAAUACCCCCAAGUAGCAAAUACCCUCACUGGUAUUAUACCUACUUCACAGACAAGAAACUUGAGGCUCAGAGAGGCCAUGUGCCUUAUCCACAGUCACGCAAUGUCUGGGAAGCUGAUAGGCUGAGAUCUGAGUUCAGGGUGUUUGGCACACACAGUCUCUGGCUCCAUCACUGUCCUUCCAGUCCAUUCUUGGCUCAGAGCAAGAGUUUCCAGAUGCACCCUUGAUCAUAACCCCCUGCUGGCUGCUCAUCUCUGCCUCCUUAGCUCCCAGCCCUUGACUGUGCCUGCCUCCCAUCCCUGCCUCUCAGGGGCAGUCUCCCUUCCCCCUUACCCAUGGUCUUCAGCACCUCUGAGACUGUCCCCAAGGCUCCUCGGGACAAAGAACAUGCAAGUCUGACCCCAGGGAAAGAGCUCUGACUGACAGAGUCUCAGUCCUACUGCCAUGCCACCCAGCAAGUGCUGGAAUUCUUUGUGCCUCCGUUUCCCCAUCUGUCCAGCUGGAGAAAUAACCCCCCUUGUGGCCAGCACAAGGAUCCAGGGCGCCAGUGAGAGAGGCAUGGUGCUUGGUGGACAGCAAAGAGCCUGGCUCCUCCACCUGCGUGUAAAUAUGACCUCCCCAGCCAGGCCAGCCCGCAAACAACUUCCUCCAGCCACCCCUGCCUCCUCCGUGUAGAUCCUUAGCUCCCACAUUGUCUGUGCUGUCUCCUGCCGGGUAUGUGUGCACUUCCACUGCUCUACCCUCUGUCUACGUGUCCUUUGCAAUUUAGGUAUCACCUCCUCCAGAAACUUUGCAGAGCCUCUCAGCUCUGUAGGCUAUGUUAGGGGUCUGUGCAAGGGCAGUCCCCAGGGCUUCCUGCCUGUCCUCAGUGAGCUCACAGUCCUAGGGAAGUAUCAGAGGAGGGAAAAACAAUGGGAAGCAGGGAUUAGAGACCCAUCUCCCUCCUUGAGAAUAGCACAGGGUCCGGUGCCUGGCUAUUUCCUUGCCCCUUGUGGUUGUGUUUGGGGGUGCUCAAUAAAGCUUUUUAAAUCCACCCAUCUGAGGUCUGAUCUCAUUUACCUGUUCAGCAAGCCUCCUGGCAGAGAACACUUAAUAACGUCAUC